AUCUACGACCAAAUCACCCUCAACGCUCCCGAUCUUGCCUGAUCUCGGAAGCCAAGCAAGGUUGAUUCUGGUUCGCACUUGAAUGGGAGACUGCCUAGGAAUGCCAGGUAUUGUAGGUG
This 119-nucleotide ribosomal RNA is filed under the name Petromyzon marinus (sea lamprey). The record is from RNAcentral. Lineage: Eukaryota; Metazoa; Chordata; Hyperoartia; Petromyzontiformes; Petromyzontidae.